RNAcentral lists this long non-coding RNA (479 nucleotides) under Struthio camelus australis. RNAcentral describes it as "lncRNA (ENSSCUG00000002196.1)". The record is from RNAcentral. Lineage: Eukaryota; Metazoa; Chordata; Aves; Struthioniformes; Struthionidae.
AUUGUUGAAUCAAGCAAAACUGUUGUGAAACACAGGAUGUGAUUCUCUGAUUAACUCUUUUCUUUCUAGGACACAUGCAGUGUAUCAGAUCCUAGCAGCCUGUCAGUGCGUGUCCUCCAGAGCUUUCUAGCAUCCUGGAUUCUCUCCAGAAGCAUGGAAACAAGUUCAGCCAGACAUUACUGAGGCACAUUCCAGAAAUACUGUAUGGACAGAAGGGAAAAGUGCAAGGUUAUCGUUCGGGGGUUUUGGACACAUUCCCAUCUGCUGUCAAGAUUCUGAAACCAACAAGAGCCGCUGUGGUUGUCUAGACUGACCUCUCUAGGGGACUGGGGCAAAAUUCUUCCCACCCAAGCGCUGAAGGGGAUCGGAUGAAGUGCCGGUGGCUUAGAGCACUCGCCCGGAGGCAACAGGUAGUCCUUGAGCACUAGCUGACGUUAGGUAAUUUAAAUACAUACUAUUUUUCGUUAACAGUUCCAAUA